Molecule: small nucleolar RNA, 105 nt
Organism: Otolemur garnettii (small-eared galago)
Lineage: Eukaryota; Metazoa; Chordata; Mammalia; Primates; Galagidae
Source: Ensembl
CGCAGGUGAUGUCCAUGUUCACAAUGGUCUUCAGAUGCCCAAGUAGGGCACUGCUGAGAAAAAAAAAAAGAAUCUCAGUUUACCAACAUGGGGUCAUGUAUAAAA